Molecule: ribosomal RNA, 242 nt
Filed under: uncultured bacterium
Lineage: Bacteria
Description: partial 16S ribosomal RNA
Rfam family: Bacterial small subunit ribosomal RNA
Source: RNAcentral
CUAGCGUUGCUCGGAAUCACUGGGCGUAAAGCGCACGUAGGCGGAUUGCUAAGUCAGGGGUGAAAUCCUGGAGCUCAACUCCAGAACUGCCUUUGAUACUGGCGACCUUGAGUCCGGGAGAGGUGAGUGGAACUGCGAGUGUAGAGGUGAAAGUCGUAGAUAUUCGCAAGAACACCAGUGGCGAAGGCGGCUCACUGGCCCGGUACUGACGCUGAGGUGCGAAAGCGUGGGGAGCAAACAGG